GCGCGUGCAACCAUUUCUGAAGAGGGCAAAACACCCGAACUUCGUCUUAAAGAAACAGAAAUAAACUUUCUUUUUUUUCUUUUUCUUUCUUUCUUUCUUUUUUUUUUUUUGAGAUGGAGUUUCGCUCUUGUCGCCCAGGCUGUAGUGCAAUGGCACGAUCUCGGCUCACUGCAACCUCCACCUCCCGGGUUCAAGCGAUUCUCCUGCCUCAGCCUGCCAAGUAGCUGGGAUUACAGGCAUGAGCCACCACACCCGGCUAAUUUUUGAAUUUUUAGUAGAGACAGGGUUGCACCAUGUUGGCCAGGCUGGUUUCGAACUCCUGACCUCAAGUGAUUCGCCCGCCUCGGCCUCCCAAAGUGCUGGGAUUACAGGAGUGAGCUACCGCGCCCGGCAGAAAUAAACAGAGCAGUGAAAAUUUUUAAUUGCCCAAAGUGCAGAUUCCCAGCUGAGGCUGAACAACGCAUCCUCUGGGUGCCCAUGGAACUGAGGUACCACAGAAUUUUGCAAUUAAUGUUGCGGAAGCACAGCCAUAGCUCUCACUUUAAAAUGUACGUGUAUGGGCCGGGCGCGGUGGCUCACGCCUGUAAUCCCAGCACUCUGGGAGGCCAAGGCGGGCGGAUCACGAGGUCAGGAGAUCGAGACCAUCCUGGCUAACACGGUGAAACCCCGUCUCUACUAAACAUACAAAGAAUUAGCCGGGCGUGGUGGCGGGCGCCUGUGGUCCCAGCUACUCGGGAGCCUGAGGCAGGAGAAUGGCGUGAACCUGGGAGGCAGAGCUUGCAGUGAGCAGAGAUCGAGCCACUGCACUCCAGCCUGGGCGACAGAGCGAGACUCCGUCUCAAAAAAAAAAAAAAAAAAAAAAAAAGUACUUGUAUGUCUUGUGUGUCCACCUUUAUUAAAUGUAUUAUAGGACUGUAGAUUGUUGAAAGACAUUAUUUAAGUGGAGACCCUGCAAGAAACAGGAAGAGAGAAACCGAGAAAGAAUAAAGUGUGGAGAGUAGAGGGGAAAAGGAUACUAGAAGGCAGGAGCACUGCUUUUAUAGGCUCUUUGAAACAGUGGUAAUUUCUUGGGAAGGCUUUUCUUAUCCCUGGUGCAUAAAAGGAAGUAAAGUGUAUUUGAAAAAAACCUUUCCCUCAGUAUGUAAUUGAUUCUUGUUAUUUGCAGUAGUUAGGUUCUGUAAAGUUGCUGGAAACACUGAAUUAGUAAAUACUGAAUCAUUACUCCUAAGGGAAAUACAGGAUUAGGAUCCUGUAAGCCUCUGGUCGCAUUUUCAUCAACUUAAUCAAUACAUAGUUUUGUUGUAUGUGUGUUUCCGCUUAAAGACAUCUUAUUUAAUAUAUAUUGUUGAUUCAUUAACAUUGAACUCAGUCAACAGCACUAUAAUUCAUACCUCAACAAAGCUUAUCUAACACUGCUAUUUUCUCUGCAAGGCUCAUGACAGCCUUCUUGUGCUUAGGAGCACUAUACAGCACAACGCUUGGGGACCAUUUUAAACAGCAACAUCAACAAAAAGUACAAAAACGUGAAAAACAUAUCACUAAAUGGAAUGUGAAAAGGACACUUGGUCCUGAUGGCUCACGCCUGUAAUCCCAGCAAUAUGGGAGGCCAAGGCGGCUGGAUCGCUUCAGCCAGGGAGUUCAAGACCACACUGGACAACAUGGCGAAACCCCGUCCCUACAAAAAAUACAAAAAUUAGCCGGGCAUGGUGGCUCUCGUCUGUAGUCCCAGCUACUCCAGAAUUUGAGGUGAAAGGAUUACUUUAGCCCGAGAGGGCGAGGCUGCAGUGAACCAAGAUAGUGUCACUGUACUCCAGCCCUGGCAACAAGGGGACACUAUGGUAUAGCAUGAGAGCUGAAACAAAAAGGCAGAGAAUGCCUUGUUUAGCCUCAGCUGGGAAUGUGCACUUUGGGCAAUUAAAAAUUUUCCCUGCUCUGUACAUGUCCAAGAAUACAUGGAGGUUACAGAUCAAUUUUAGCAAGUAGGCAAAUUUGCAAAUAUGGAAUCCACAAAUAAUGGAGAAAGACUGUAUUUCUGUUUUAUACUGCCCUAUUUUCUAGUUGUACUCACAAUUUUGUAGUUCAUUAAAUUGACUAGUAGUUUACUGUAUGUCUUGUCUUUAUAAUGAGAUUGUAAAUAACUUCUGAGGAAAGACCAUGACUCAUUAUUUCCAAAAUUUACUUGACCUAGUGCUGUGCUAAGUACACAAUAUAUAGUAGUAAAAAUAUUUUUGAAUGAAUGGUUAACAGUGGGCCAGAACUUGGGACUUGUGAAUGACCAGAAGCUUUUUCCUUUAGCACACCCUAAGAGGUAAGGAGAAAUGUAACAUUUU
This 2330-nucleotide long non-coding RNA is filed under the name Homo sapiens (human). RNAcentral's name for it is "non-protein coding lnc-VASH2-3:1". The record is from RNAcentral. Lineage: Eukaryota; Metazoa; Chordata; Mammalia; Primates; Hominidae.